AUGAAGAAGAAACCAAACGCUCUUUUUUUUUUUUUUUUUUUUUUUUCCCUUUCCUUUCUCCCCACCCCUUUCAAUCGGAAGAAAGAAAUCCCAAGGUCUGCAAAGUGGCCCCCAGCGCAGUUCUCUUGCCCGGUGCGGGUAUCGGUGGUUUCCCGGCAGCAUUGGCACGAGGGGCGGUGGCCGCUGAGGUCUCCUGGUCUCCGGAGGGCCUGGAAUCUCCGCAGAGGCCAGCAAGGGCGAGGAGGCGGCUGGAGAAAGAACAAUUCACAGAGAAAUACUCAUUAUCUCCCUUCGGAGACAUUUCUGCAAUUAAAGGGCUGUGGGUGGAGGCACCCAAAUCAAGGGAGACCCCGGGAAGCCUGCUUGAGAAUGCCCAGGUCGCCGGCCACUCCCUCGGGAGGAACCCUCGCUCUGCAGGGAGGCAAUUUUGUGGUAUUGAACGCGGUAGGUUACAGCGUGUUGGUUUCUGUGCAAUAGUGAUUCUGUUACUUGUGUUUCAUUGCUCUGGGGGUGUGUGGACUUUGGGGGAGAAGAAAAAAUU
RNAcentral lists this long non-coding RNA (541 nucleotides) under Sus scrofa (pig). RNAcentral describes it as "lncRNA (ENSSSCG00015056387.1)". Lineage: Eukaryota; Metazoa; Chordata; Mammalia; Artiodactyla; Suidae. The record is from RNAcentral.